RNAcentral lists this transfer RNA (68 nucleotides) under Marmota monax (woodchuck). RNAcentral describes it as "tRNA.Ala". The record is from RNAcentral. Lineage: Eukaryota; Metazoa; Chordata; Mammalia; Rodentia; Sciuridae.
GGACUGUAGCUCAAUGGCAGAGCACUUGCCUAGCAUGUAUGAGGCACUGGGUUCAAUCCGCAUCACCA